RNAcentral lists this transfer RNA (86 nucleotides) under Microcaldota archaeon. RNAcentral describes it as "Candidatus Micrarchaeota archaeon (hot springs metagenome) tRNA-Leu". It matches the Rfam family "tRNA". Rfam says of the family: Transfer RNA (tRNA) molecules are approximately 80 nucleotides in length. Their secondary structure includes four short double-helical elements and three loops (D, anti-codon, and T loops). The record is from RNAcentral. Lineage: Archaea; Nanobdellati; Microcaldota.
GCAGGGGUGGCAGAGCCUGGUCAAAUGCGCAGGACUUAAGAUCCUGUGGCGUAGUGCCUACGUGGGUUCGAAUCCCACCCCCUGCA